Molecule: long non-coding RNA, 4420 nt
Organism: Corapipo altera (White-ruffed manakin)
Lineage: Eukaryota; Metazoa; Chordata; Aves; Passeriformes; Pipridae
Exons: 3
Source: RefSeq, a predicted model, not a curated record
GUUCCUCAAGGACAUUGUGUUUUUCUGACAUGGAUGGUUACAGAUGGCCCCACAGCAGGACCACCACAGGACACAGCUGAGCUAAUGUGUGAAAACACAUUUUAAAAAAUGGUGAUAAAGACCAAGGGAAAGGAACAGCAAGAUCCGAGAACAGGUCCAUGAUGGAGCAGUCACACCUGAAGGAAAUGAAACCUGUGGAGGACUCAUGUUGGAGCAGAGGAAACAAGAAGGAAGGAGCAGCAGUAAAGAAUAGUGAGAAACGAGUGGCAGAGAGAACAUGCUGUGCCCUGACCCCAACCUACUGCACUGCCUAUUGCCUCACCAAAGAGACUGAGCAUAACCUGCAGUGAUAAGGUCAGGUAUGGAGACUGGGAAUGGGGAAGGAAGAUGCCUGAAGCAAAGCCGAGACUAGGAAAGAAGCAGUAUUGAAUAAGGAAAAUGGAAUGCAUUAGAUCACAUGUAACAGAACUAAAGAAGGAAAGUAUAAAAUCUCAGCUCCAGCGUGAAGGAUCAAGUCUGUACUUGGGGAAGGAAUCAUCUACAAAGGCAACAAAAAUGAGAAAAAAGGAACUAUUUCAUGAAAAUUAAUUCUUUUAAAUUAAAGCAAGAGACUAAUAUUCACAAUGCUUCUGUUGAUUAGGACUCUCAUAUAUACCAUUUGCUUGUGCCCAAAUUUAGGAACUACAGGACAAGACAAGGCAAUCUUCAAAUUUACAUAGAGCACAAGGGUGUUACAGUAAGUGUGCAAAUCCAGGAAUAGACCCUAAAAAAAGAUGUUGAUAGCCAAGGUCAGUCACUGCAGUCUGUCAGCUUCUCAGGGUUUUUUUUUGCGGCUUGGUACGGUGCAAUUAUUACUGCACUGUCAUAAUCUCUGCCUGCUGCCAGUUUUGUCUUCCUCAUAUCCCUGUCAACAAGUUGAUGAUGCAUUGUUGGUGUUCAUUAGCCCUUAUACAAUCUUACUGACUACAUCACACCAAAAAUCUAACGUUCUUCAGUAUGACAUAUUUAAGUAUGUCGUACUUCUGAAAUUGCUACGAAAUCCCCUAGAUCCCCCAGAAGUGUCACUUUUGCACUGUCAAAUUUCUGAGCAGUCUUACAGUCAGAUUGAGUUUUAAGAACAGUUUACCCUUAUGAUUAUCCAUCAUACCUGCAUGUGAUGCGAAGUGCAGUGAUCAGUCUGGUAGGAAUAUGCUAGUAGAAGCUAGAGUACAUGGGAAUGAAACCUCAUUUCAGUGUGGUGACUGGGAGCUCAAUGGGAAGGGAUUGACGCAAUGCCAAACGUGGCCCAAAAGCUGUGUAUUGUACAGUGUUGGUGGUUCAGGUUGCUGACAGCACACACUAUUUUUAGUUUAGUGAGCUGAUGUUUCACAGUACCUACUUCCUCUUUAGCAAAGAAAUUUGACUCUGUGCAGGGUGGCCAGUACUGCUCACAGGCACUUGCUGUGGCCUUGUGCACUCGUCUUGUUGGCGCAGACAAUGCGUAUGCGGAGCAGAGUCUGCAGCCGGAUGCGAUGUCCCGCUUUCUCUCGCUGCACUGAGCAGCCUGCACAUGUGUGGUAGCAAUGCCUUCAGCUUAUUUGUGUUUCAUCCAUUCCUCUUACAGUAAUUCAGUUUCAAGUUGUGGCCUGCAGGUAUUUACUACGUAUUUCACCAUGCUUGUUAAUAUUUACUGUUUUUUACAUUCAUGUAUUGUGUUUGGUGAAACCUGUUUUCUUGCUUUAGGCAUCUAGUGACAACAGUAUGUGCUACAUCAUCAGUAGCUACUCUCAGCCAGCUGUCAGCAUCGUGCUUACAGUUUUAACAGCUAGGCUUAUUAGGUUACUGGUGCUAGAAUAUGAUGUAGCACUAGACAGUUUUUUUGCCUUUAUAAACUGCAUAAUCUGCAAAUACUUUGAGUUCUUACUUGGAAAAUACUCAGCAUGGGUUGACACAGGUAAUGAAAAGGCGAUUUAAAAAAAAAUCAAGAGAAUUGUGAUUAUAUAUUUAUACCUGCAAUUAUAUCUGACAACUUGGAAAUACCAAUGACUACUCCAGAUAAAGUACAUCUGCAAAAUUUUAGUCAGUUUGGAUUUAUAGUAUUUUAUAUCAAUAGAAAGACAAAGCAGAAUGUGAAGCCAAUUUGUUCAGUGUUUUCCUGUACCCAAAGUUAAGGAUAACUGGCUACAGUUCCCAGACCUGGAUGGAGUUCUGAUCUCAGUGAAUUUGUUCUGGUCACAGUGCUCCUGUGAUUUCACUUCUGAUGCCCAUUAUAAUUUGAACCUGAUACCAGCAUCAAAUCUCAGAGGUAUAUAUCCACAUUUCAACCAUUUUCAAAAUUCAAGGUAAUUGCUGACCACAUCUGACAAGCACAAAUGGCACAAACAGAUACAAUAUUGUAAUUACAACACAAGUACAGAGAUGAUUUAAUUGUUGUAGGUGACACUUCUAUGAGAUACAAUUAACUCUUUAAUGUGAAUAUAUGGGAAGACGGAACUACUCUUUUACCUGCACAAUUCAUCUUAUCAAUUCUUUUUGAGAGUUUAUACCACCUGUCUGACAAUUCAACUCAUACAGAUAAUAAUGAGAUUAUUACUUGAGUAACUGUGCCUUUCUAGGAAAGAUCCAGUUUUAGAAACCAGCGAUUCAUCACAAUCAAACUUUUUUAUAUCUGCUUGGGAAAAGUCAAUAGCUGACUAGCAAACUUUCCACUGUUUCAAAGUGCACACACACACACACAGAAUUGAAGUGAACAUUCUCAGUGUUUCUAUGACUAAUUAUCUUAUGCAGGUGCCCUCACACCACCAUUAAACCAUAUCACAGAGGAAGACUGUUACAGUUAUUCUGCAGGAUAAUUUUAAAUAUCAACAAAUAAUUUAAUGUAUCUUUGUAUUAUUAAAGAAUAAUUGUAUAAUGUUUGCUAAGUAGAAAAUUAGGGGACUUUGAAGCUGACAAUUAUCUCUGCGUGUGUGUGUGCAUGGCUUUCUGAUCCCGAUUAUUUUUAGUCAUAUAAAUUUGGUAUUUAUAGUGUUUGUUAUUUUUUCUUUGUCAUGAAGUAUUACUGCUGAUCUGUGCACUAAUUAGUUUUGUAAAAUAUACCCUAAUAGUAGUCUGUAUUUAAACUUAGAUGUUACUUGCCCAGAAUAUAUGGUUUUGUUAAUUCUCUUAUUUGGAGAUCUAACGUCUAAAAAUCAGAAGUAGCAGCAAAUGCUAUUUCAAGCUAUCACUUUUCUCUGCCAGUUUCUCUGCUGGUUGUUUUUCUAAACUGAAGUUGUUUUUAUAUAUUUUGCAACUGGCAUUCAUGAAAUAAUCUGGACCAUUUCUGAGACACUGUGAAUGUACUAAGGAAAUCUGGAGGAAAAAGUUAUUAAUUCAGCUAUUAAUUUUACUUCAUUAAACUGAAGGUAGAAUAGGCAGCUGCAAAUGAAAUAAUUUCACUGAGUUCUGGGUUCAGAAAGGUUCUUUGGAGGUUUUAUUUCUGUGAGCUGAUAUACCUCAGGGUUCUGGUUUUAAUGAUUGUGCUUUAUUUUAAUUCUCUGCCUCAUUUCUGUGCAAAGCUAGCUCUGGAUGCAUGUGAGCAGACUUUAAAAAUGUAUCAUGAUAAUAGAAUAAUUAAACUAUUAAUCUUCCUAUAUUUCUGAAGGUUGGUAAUCCAUCUUCUUUAGUUAAAAGGUUCAUUGCCUGGUCCCAGGCUUAAAAAUAAGUUUUUUUGUGAGCUAGAGAUUUCCUCAGGUCACCACUUGACACAGAUUAAUACCAUCUCCAAACCUCUGUAACCCAUGCCCUGUAAUCACCUAUGACUAAUGUAGAAGAGAAGACAGGGAAGUGGGGGACACAGACCGAAAGGAUCAAAAGGGAUGUAAAGCUUUAUGCACAAAAAAGUGGGUUAGCAAGUUCAUAAUUAUUCCAAAGCAUAGGAAUAUAAAGGUGUCUUGGACUGCUUGUAAAUUUCCCUGGUUUUCAAGCAGUGUUGCUCCACAGGACAGGCAAAGCAAUAUGUUCUAAGGCUUCUAUGUCAGCUCUCCCAGACCACAAAACUUAUUCUUGUAGUGACUUCAAGCAGUCUGGGAGAACAAAAUCCUUUAUAAUGGCAAAUAUGCUGCAAAUAUGCUGCAAAUAAGGGUCCAACUAUAUGUGCAAAAGCACAUGUUCUCAAAGCAUGGUGACAGUACCUCAAAACUCAGUAUUUGCCAUUAGCAUAAAAUUGUAUUUUUUUUUUUUAGUUUUAUGUAAGUUGAAAUAAGAGUUGUCUGCAGUAUAUCAGCUAGCAAUGUGUAGUAUUUGUAAAUAAUGACAAGCUCUGUGUGUAUAAGACACAAUUUUUUACAGCAGCAGAAAGAGGUUUAUUGAUGUAUGUGCUGCUUGGGAUGCUCUGAACAGGGCUUUGCCACCAACUUUAAUGACACUGCUAUUAUACCUCUCUGUUUUAAGUUUCAGCUCUUUU